CUCCGCCGCCACUCCCCACCCGCCGUUUGCCUCGCGGCCUUGAGCAGGGUGGAAGGCUGGGGCUGCCGGUGGCGACUCCCGGGCUCCCUGUAAGAGGUACGGGGUGCGAGUGCUGCGAAAGAUUCCUCCGCCUCUCGGCGGGGCGCUGGGCAGCUCGCAGCCGAGCGCAGCGGCGCGGCUCUGACGGCAUCCGUGAGCUCUCAUAAAACGCUGCGUGUGUUUGGCGGAAUGUUGCUUCUCGGGGGCCAGAGGAGGCUUGAACAGAAUAGAGUGAGUUUAGUGGAUCCUAAGGCAGCUGUAAAUGCUGAAUAGCACAGAUAGAUUACAAAGGGCACAGUAUCAAUCAGCGUGUCUCAUUUUUGGAUAGACCUCCAGAUAUCCAAGGCAACUCUUUGCCAGCCUGACCGUGGCGUAGGCCAGCGUCCAGCAGUACAGCAGUAUUGCUUUGUUAAUACACAUACUGACAGUGUGUAUUUACGGGCCUCUUUUUGAAUACUGUUUAGCCACAGGUUAUAAACUUCCCAGCACUCGGGUACUUGACAUUGCUUCCACAACCGUCUCCAAGAUUUCUGUUUGUCCUUGGGUUGUAACUCGUCUGCCCUGCCUUGGCUUACUCUCGAUUUAGAGUGGCUUCCUAUUCUGCUGCCAGGUGACAGCCUGUAACAAACUGCAGCAGUUCAUUUAUAGCUUCUCCAAAAAUUGGCUGCAGUGACAGUUUUCAAAAUUAUUUGUUUCAUCAAAUGGUAUGCAUUUAACUACGCUGUAUUUCCUUCCUUGCAGCAGUUUGUAACCAUGCACACAAAAAUCCAAGUACUUUUCUCCUUUUGUCUUAUGGAGAACAGAAAUUGUUCUGUCCCAGGAAUAACUGGCUCAGUGUCUGGAUGGAGAUCAGUGAAAAACUCACAAAGGAUUCCAUCCUGGGAGCUGAGUCACUCUCUAAAUCGAGAGCUGUCAUUCUCUGUACAUAAAAUAUUCCUCUGCAGAGCUGAAGGGAAACCUCCAGUCCUCAAGGAACAUGAUCUCUACAAUCAAAUUGUUAGUCCAGUCACACCUCUAAAAGACAGUCAUGGUGAAUAGCAAUCUAGCUUUAGUCAUCUGAGAUAGCUAACAUUUAAAAGAGCUGACUAACAGUGACAUGUAUUAGACAUGGAAAAAACAAGACCGACUAUUUAUUCCUUACCCUUUUCUAUAGGGUAUUUGCCUCUAGUGUGAGGCACUAUAAAGUACCUCACACAUUCUUUGUAUUUUUAAAUAAACAUUUUAAAUAAAAAAACCUAAAUCUUGUG
This 1286-nucleotide long non-coding RNA is filed under the name Chrysolophus pictus (golden pheasant). RNAcentral describes it as "lncRNA (ENSCPIG00010006470.1)". Lineage: Eukaryota; Metazoa; Chordata; Aves; Galliformes; Phasianidae. The record is from RNAcentral.